RNAcentral lists this ribosomal RNA (449 nucleotides) under uncultured bacterium. RNAcentral describes it as "bacterial SSU rRNA". It matches the Rfam family "Bacterial small subunit ribosomal RNA", at positions 29 to 519 of the family's 1533-position model. The record is from RNAcentral.
AACGAACGCUGGCGGCAGGCUUAACACAUGCAAGUCGAACGCUCGUAGCAAUACGGGAGUGGCGGACGGGUGAGUAACGCGUGGGAACGUGCCCUGAGGUACGGAAUAACUGCGGGAAACUGCAGCUAAUACCGUAUGAGCCCCGUGAGGGGGAAAGAUUUAUCGCCUUAGGAGCGGCCCGCGUCGGAUUAGCUAGUUGGUGGGGUAACGGCUUACCAAGGCUUCGAUCCGUAGCUGGUCUGAGAGGACGAUCAGCCACACUGGGACUGAGACACGGCCCAGACUCCUACGGGAGGCAGCAGUGGGGAAUCUUGCGCAAUGGGGGCAACCCUGACGCAGCCAUGCCGCGUGAAUGAUGAAGGCCUUAGGGUUGUAAAGUUCUUUUGCCCGUGACGAUGAUGACGGUAACGGGAGAAUAAGCUCCGGCUAACUUCGUGCCAGCAGCCGCG